UUUUUAGNUUUUUUNNNCCCCCGUCAGGACGANCGCUGGCGGCGUGCCUAAUACAUGCAAGUCGAACGCUUCUUUCCUCCCGAGUGCUUGCACUCAAUUGGAAAGAGGAGUGGCGGACGGGUGAGUAACACGUGGGUAACCUACCCAUCAGAGGGGGAUAACACUUGGAAACAGGUGCUAAUACCGCAUAACAGUUUAUGCCGCAUGGCAUAAGAGUGAAAGGCGCUUUCGGGUGUCGCUGAUGGAUGGACCCGCGGUGCAUUAGCUAGUUGGUGAGGUAACGGCUCACCAAGGCCACGAUGCAUAGCCGACCUGAGAGGGUGAUCGGCCACACUGGGACUGAGACACGGCCCAGACUCCUACGGGAGGCAGCAGUAGGGAAUCUUCGGCAAUGGACGAAAGUCUGACCGAGCAACGCCGCGUGAGUGAAGAAGGUUUUCGGAUCGUAAAACUCUGUUGUUAGAGAAGAACAAGGACGUUAGUAACUGAACGUCCCCUGACGGUAUCUAACCAGAAAGCCACGGCUAACUACGUGCCAGCAGCCGCGGUAAUACGUAGGUGGCAAGCGUUGUCCGGAUUUAUUGGGCGUAAAGCGAGCGCAGGCGGUUUCUUAAGUCUGAUGUGAAAGCCCCCGGCUCAACCGGGGAGGGUCAUUGGAAACUGGGAGACNUGAGUCAGAAGA
This 682-nucleotide ribosomal RNA is filed under the name Enterococcus faecalis. RNAcentral's name for it is "bacterial SSU rRNA". It matches the Rfam family "Bacterial small subunit ribosomal RNA", at positions 1 to 654 of the family's 1533-position model. Lineage: Bacteria; Bacillati; Bacillota; Bacilli; Lactobacillales; Enterococcaceae. The record is from RNAcentral.